RNAcentral lists this long non-coding RNA (259 nucleotides) under Physcomitrium patens. Its description in RNAcentral is "long non-coding RNA (PPAT_LNC009763)". Lineage: Eukaryota; Viridiplantae; Streptophyta; Bryopsida; Funariales; Funariaceae. The record is from RNAcentral.
AGAGGAAGAGGGUAGCAUGUUAAUUAUAGAAAUUGAUUGUAGUGGCAUAAAUCUAAUUGGAAUAUAUACAUAUAGGUGUCUAAAGCAUCAAAUUAAAUGGUAGCAAAUACAUACUUAGAUUUAAACAACAUUUAAUUAUCAAGUUGAAUUAUACCUUUAACAUUUGAAAUAUUAUUCAUUAACAAAUUUUACUUUACAUAUUAAUAUAACUCAAUUAUACUAGUGUAUAUAUAUAUAAUGAUUCAUCAUCAAGUUUAUA